RNAcentral lists this ribosomal RNA (547 nucleotides) under Chalara cylindrosperma. RNAcentral's name for it is "LSU rRNA". It matches the Rfam family "Eukaryotic large subunit ribosomal RNA", at positions 44 to 594 of the family's 3401-position model. Lineage: Eukaryota; Fungi; Ascomycota; Leotiomycetes; Helotiales. The record is from RNAcentral.
CAAUAAGCGGAGGAAAAGAAACCAACAGGGAUUGCCUCAGUAACGGCGAGUGAAGCGGCAACAGCUCAAAUUUGAAAUCUGGGUCUUUCAGGCUCCGAGUUGUAAUUUGUAGAAGAUGCUUCGGAUGUGGCUCCGGUCUAAGUCCCUUGGAACAGGGCGUCAUAGAGGGUGAGAAUCCCGUAUGUGACUGGCUGCCUCCGUCCAUGUGAAGCUCUUUCGACGAGUCGAGUUGUUUGGGAAUGCAGCUCAAAAUGGGUGGUAAAUUUCAUCUAAAGCUAAAUAUUGGCCAGAGACCGAUAGCGCACAAGUAGAGUGAUCGAAAGAUGAAAAGCACUUUGGAAAGAGAGUUAAACAGUACGUGAAAUUGUUGAAAGGGAAGCGCUUGCAAUCAGACUUGCGCGCCGUUGAUCAUCCCCGGUUCUCCGGGGUGCACUCGGCGGCGCUCAGGCCAGCAUCGGUUUUGGUGGUGGGAUAAAGGCCUUGGGAAUGUAGCUCCUCUCGGGGAGUGUUAUAGCCCUCGGUGCAAUGCCGCCUACUGGGACCGAGG